CGUAAGCGAGCGCAGGCGGUUUCUUAAGUCUGAUGUGAAAGCCCCCGGCUCAACCGGGGAGGGUCAUUGGAAACUGGGAGACUUGAGUGCAGAAGAGGAGAGUGGAAUUCCAUGUGUAGCGGUGAAAUGCGUAGAUAUAUGGAGGAACACCAGUGGCGAAGGCGGCUCUCUGGUCUGUAACUGACGCUGAGGCUCGAAAGCGUGGGGAGCAAACAGGAUUAGAUACCCCCGUAGUC
Molecule: ribosomal RNA, 236 nt
Filed under: Enterococcus sp.
Lineage: Bacteria; Bacillati; Bacillota; Bacilli; Lactobacillales; Enterococcaceae
Description: partial 16S ribosomal RNA
Rfam family: Bacterial small subunit ribosomal RNA
Source: RNAcentral